GAGUUUGAUCAUGGCUCAGGAUGAACGCUAGCGGGAGGCUUAACACAUGCAAGUCGAGGGGCAGCACGAUGUAGCAAUACGUUGGUGGCGACCGGCGCACGGGUGAGUAACGCGUAUGUAACCUACCUUGUACAGGGGGAUAGCCCGGAGAAAUUCGGAUUAAUACCCCAUAAUGAUAUCUGGAGGCAUCUUUAGAUAUUUAAAGUUUCGACGGUACGAGAUGGGCAUGCGUGACAUUAGCUAGUUGGUAAGGUAACGGCUUACCAAGGCUACGAUGUCUAGGGGUCCUGAGAGGGUGAUCCCCCACACUGGUACUGAGACACGGACCAGACUCCUACGGGAGGCAGCAGUGAGGAAUAUUGGUCAAUGGGCGUAAGCCUGAACCAGCCAUCCCGCGUGAAGGAAGAAGGCGCUAUGCGUCGUAAACUUCUUUUCCGGAGGAAUAAAAUUUUGUACGCGUACAGAACUGAAGGUACUCCGGGAAUAAGCAUCGGCUAACUCCGUGCCAGCAGCCGCGGUAAUACGGAGGAUGCGAGCGUUAUCCGGAUUUAUUGGGUUU
This 559-nucleotide ribosomal RNA is filed under the name uncultured Bacteroidota bacterium. Its description in RNAcentral is "bacterial SSU rRNA". It matches the Rfam family "Bacterial small subunit ribosomal RNA", at positions 9 to 561 of the family's 1533-position model. Lineage: Bacteria; Pseudomonadati; Bacteroidota. The record is from RNAcentral.